CCAACGCCAGUGACUGUUCCUCCACUGCCUAUUCCCAUUACAAAGAUAUCAACUUGUCCAAGAGUAUCCUCCCAUAUUUCAGGCCCUGUCGUUUCAAAAUGGAUCUGUUUUCCAUUUCAAGUUCAGACUUCAAUUUAGUGUUUACUAAUCAAGGUACCAAGAAACUUGUUAAAGUGAUCCGAUGUAUAGAUAGAUUAUAUUUAUAUAUACCUUACUAUUUGCAGGAUUCGAAAACUGUUGUAGCAUGUAAGCAUUUGGUGUGGUUUCCAAAAGAUCAUAGGCCUUCUUAACUGUUCCUCCCAUCCCCUUGGUGGGAUCAGUGAGAAUUAGCUCAGCUCCAAAUGCCCUCAUAGUCACCCUUCUUUCCAAGCUUGUGUAAGAGGGCAUGGUUAAAAUCAUCUUGUAUCCUUUCAUGGCUGCCAUAAAAGCCAUACUAAUCCCCAUAUUACCAG
This 452-nucleotide long non-coding RNA is filed under the name Manihot esculenta (cassava). Its description in RNAcentral is "long non-coding RNA (MESC_LNC002638)". Lineage: Eukaryota; Viridiplantae; Streptophyta; Magnoliopsida; Malpighiales; Euphorbiaceae. The record is from RNAcentral.